This 455-nucleotide long non-coding RNA is filed under the name Homo sapiens (human). Its description in RNAcentral is "HSALNT0167459". The record is from RNAcentral. Lineage: Eukaryota; Metazoa; Chordata; Mammalia; Primates; Hominidae.
CCGGGACUGCACGCCAUCUACGGAGAGUGCCGCCGCCUUUACCCUGACCAGCCGAACCCGCUCCAGGUUACCGCUAUCGUCAAGUACUGGUUGGGUGGCCCAGACCCCUUGGACUAUGUUAGCAUGUACAGGAAUGUGGGGAGCCCUUCUGCUAACAUCCCCGAGCACUGGCACUACAUCAGCUUCGGCCUGAGUGAUCUCUAUGGUGACAACAGAGUCCAUGACUCAGAGGCCCAGGUUUCAUCUCUUCGCUGGUCACGUGUUGGGAGCAAUGUCUGCAGCUGCCUUUACAGCCUUCCAAAUGGAUUCAUUGCAGUGUCAGCAGAAGGAUUUGGGAAGAGGGAAUUAAUCUUGCCUGAAUGGGGACCCAGCAUUACAGUAUUAAUAAUGGAGAUAGAAUAGCAAACAGAUGUGGGGAGUAAAGAGACUAUGCUGGACCUUAAUUUAUAUUUUUA